UACAGAGGUCCCAAGCGUUAUCCGGAUUUAUUGGGUUUAAAGGGUGCGUAGGCGGAAUAGUAAGUCAGUGGUGAAAGCCUGUUGCUUAACAACAGAACUGCCAUUGAUACUACUAAUCUUGAGUACAUAUGAUGUGGGCGGAAUGUGCCAUGUAGCGGUGAAAUGCUUAGAUAUGGCACAGAACACCGAUUGCGAAGGCAGCUCACAAAACUGUUACUGACGCUGAGGCACGAAAGCGUGGGGAUCAAACAGG
This 253-nucleotide ribosomal RNA is filed under the name uncultured bacterium. RNAcentral's name for it is "partial 16S ribosomal RNA". It matches the Rfam family "Bacterial small subunit ribosomal RNA", at positions 524 to 776 of the family's 1533-position model. The record is from RNAcentral.